Long non-coding RNA from Triticum dicoccoides, 3556 nucleotides. RefSeq lists it as uncharacterized. The record is from RefSeq and is a predicted model, not a curated record. The transcript is spliced from 8 exons. NCBI's taxonomy places the organism in Eukaryota, Viridiplantae, Streptophyta, Magnoliopsida, Poales, Poaceae.
GCCAAUCCUCUCCUCGCGCGCGGCGUGCUUCCAGUGGGUCGUGGAACCCUAGACCCCUUUCCCCAAUCCCACGGCUGCCUCCAUCCUCCCGUGCUCCACCCCGAGCGUGCCCAGGCUCCGCCUCCUCCUCCUCCACCAUCCCUUCUCUUCUCACUCUUCCUCCUGUGGCGGCCGCCUCCUCUUCUCCCUAUCAUCCUCCUCCUCGCCCCACGCGACCCCUCUUGUGCCGCUCGUCUCCACUUCGUUGCCGCCAUAGAUCGAGGAGGACGGCGCGAUGACGACCAUGAUGCAUCAGACAUCCCAGAUCGACGACGCCAUGGAAGCCAUGAGAGCUGGCCGAGGAAGAGAGGGCAGGGCCGCAGGCCAUGAAGGGCAUGGCGGCUGCGGGCGGAAGCAGCAUGGGUUGAAGGAGCGGCGGAUGUGGGCGGGGUCAGAGGUUGCGGAAGACUCGUCGGCUGGGCGACAGGAAGCGCCGGUGAGUGCAAUCAUGCGUUUCCAGAAGCGUCCUAUCCUACAAGGCAGGCAAGGACGACGUCGUCGCCCUCGCAGGUUCUACGAUCUGUUGCAUCUCUUUUCUUCUCGUUAAGGAGAGGGGAGGCGGCCAAUGACAGGGAGAAGGAGCAGGCCGUCGAGGAGUGCAAGCAGAAGGAUUAAUUUUGGCCCAUACAGUUUCCGGUGACUAGAAGUCUGAAACUGAUGACAGGGCAUAUUGUUUUGGUUAUGAGUGGUUGGAGUUAUUGUGGCUUGAUGUCCUGGAGCAGUCAGACCCUUCCAAGAUAGGUCGAGCGACGGCGAGCACAUCCGACGGCAACACACCAAGCAAAAAAGAAGCAGGAGCAAAACGAAAGUGAGCACCAUAGAAAGGAUGAUUAUAAGCAAGCGACAAGAACAAGCCAAUGGGCAUGGCAUUUUCAAGCGACAAGAACAAGCCAAUGGGCAUGGCAUUUUAUGAAAAAUGAGCAGAGAGACCAGGCGUGGGACUGGUGCUUGGUAGCAACAGCGAUUCCUUCAGGCAUUUCGAUUCCAGUAACCACAAGUUCUAGGGAAGAUGUAUGUUUCCUACAAAGGGUUUGAGUUUGAGAGGCACAGAAGAAGUUACAAGUGUUGCAGCUUAUUUGUCUUUAUAGUGACAUGUAUCGACAAACGAUUGUUAUAUUCAGUAUGCUAGGGUGUGUCCUAUUUAUCAUGCAGAUUCUGUAUUAGGUGCUCGAUAGAGGUAACAAAAGCUAACAGAGAUCAGAAUAUAUUUUUACUUAUAUUUUUGUCUUUCUUUUAGUUCUGUGUAGUCUUUAUUUACCAUGUAAUGAUUAGUUUGAAUGCUUAUAGUGGUUAUACUUUCCCUAUAAAUUUGUUGGGUAGAUUAUAAUUCCGUUACUUGAUUUAGGACAGUAUAUGGUUCUAUGAUACAGGAUUUAGAGGAACAUAUAUGGGAUUUUGUUUUUCAGGUCACACUUGUCCCAUAUUCUGUUACUUUCCCUAUUGAUUUUAGCUUGCAAUUGAGUAAGAUGCAGGCUGGGAAUUCUCCCUUGUGUGUCAGAAUCUGAAGUAUUUGACCAUUUGGGUUCACUUCUAUUAUGUGUUGUAUCCUUCCUCUAUUUUGAGAUUUACUAGGCACAUGCAGGUUAGUUGUUGUUUCAAACAUGUCAAUGAAAGGUAAUAAUGUUAAAAUUGGUUCCCCAAGGGCCAAGGUGGUGAUGAUCACUUUGUGCUUCUUUUCCUACUUGUUCUAAAAAUGAUUCUUCUAGGUGAUGUUGAUUUAGGUUUUUGUGGUCGUGUCAUACACCAAUUACCGUCGAGAUGGGUAAUGGUAUGAGAAUGGGGCUCCAAGGAUGUGAAAAUGGUCUGGAAGACAGAGUUAGCAGCGACAUGUGUCCUCAAGUAAUUUCUUGCCAAAGGUGAUGUGAAGGUUAGCUACUGUGAUCAAGGAAAUAACAUGUAUCUGUGUGGUUUGUUCCUGCUGUUGAUCGGCUGUUGCUGCGUUUAAGGUAUGUUGUGCCCGGUGCUACUUAAUGCUAUAUAAAACCUGUAGCUGUACAUAAAACGCCUUGAUAUGCAAAUAACCCAGUUAAAAUAAAUGGGUUGCGCCAUCUAGCAUUACAUGAUGACAUGCCAAACACUUUGCCACCUAGGAUAGUCUAUAUUUGUAUUUCAUUCAGUUAUCUCAUAUUUCCAGUAAAAAAACUCUUCGCUUUGGGGUUUUGGAAUAAUCUUCAGGAAGUUGGUGACGAGUUAGUAGAACUUAUAGAAAUUGUAGAAAAUAGCCCCUACGGAAUUACAAAGAGCGAGAAUAAGGAAGCCGGCAAACUUAGUGCUUCAUGGUAUUUCAGUAGAAAGGAAAUAGAAGAGAAUUCUCCGUCUAAGAGGGAUGGCAUUGAUUUAAAGAAAGAGAGUUACCUUCGGAAAUCGUAUUGCACUUAUCUACAAGAUUUGGGGAUGCGGCUCAAAGUGUAAGAUAUUUUAUGUCCUUCUAUGCAUUUAUCGAUACUGUAGCCUGUUGGCUGACUGUCCCUUGCUUAUCCAAAAACAUUGAGUUAUGCUACUUACCCAACCAGAUGUUAAAUACUUCAAAAUGUGUCUUUAUAUGGUCAUUGUAUCGUAAUUGCUUCUCCUGAUGUGUUUUUGUUUUACACCAGCAUAUAUUUGGUCCAGAGAUAUUCAAUUGUUUGUCUGAUAAGAUAAUAUUUUACUUCUUUAUGGAGCACUCUUAUGGCAAGCACAUUUUUUCUGGAUGAACUGCUGGUUGGGUUUUUUCUCCAUAAAUACGAUAAAUUAUCAUAUCUAUGAAAUGUUAAGAUAUACUGAAAAUAUGCCCUGUAUGAUGGUGGUCUGGCAUUUUAGAAUUGUUUUGGGCAAUUCAUGUUUGUAUGCAUUUUUUCUUUUCGCCCUUGAAGGCAUCUUUAAUAGUUUGCAAUUGCGAUAGAAAUUUCUGUGCUCAUAUCUUUAGUUUUUAUUACAAUUGGUCGAGCUACAACGAGUGCGUCUGAUUCCAACUCAUCAAGGUGAGCUCCCUCUUUUAUUCUUCUCAGGUAAUGAGGCAUCGGUGUAGGCCCAAUCUUUUUGUUUGUUGCUUUGAAGAGUGUUGUCAUGUUGUGGAAAGGCAACAUGUGCUUGAUAUGUGGAGUUGGUGUUGAGCCUGGCGGUAGUAGACAGGGAAGGCACCCAUCUCACUUGAUCUUGAGAGUUGAUUCAUAUCUUUUUUUCUUGACCUGAUUGAGUUCCUAUAUAUGCAAGGAUAAAGAAGAAGGGGCAUUGUCGUGGUUGUUGCUUAAGGUGUUGGUCAGGAGCUGAUUGCCGGGACUGAUGACAAGAACGGAGAGCAGGAUGAGUAUGUCAACAUGAUGUUCCUUGAUGUUGGCCUUCUUUUAUAAAGUUCACAUGCAACUCUCCUCCAUGGUUAGAAAAAACUAAUUUAAACGUUUUGUUUCUUUGGUGGUUAUUCAUUUCUCUUACCAUUGAUGUAUCAAAACAAUUGUAUUUUCGUUGAUGGCCACUUGGGCUCAUUUUCGAGGAGAAUGAGAUGUGGAAUAAACUACUCUGAAAUGGUUGGUUCCCUUCA